UCCUCCGUGGCGCAAUUGGCUAGCGCGUCUGACUGUUACGCUUUCUCCUUGGGAUUGCAGCAAUCAGGAGGUUGACAGUUCAAGCCUGUCCGGGGGAG
RNAcentral lists this transfer RNA (98 nucleotides) under Thielaviopsis punctulata. Its description in RNAcentral is "Ceratocystis radicicola tRNA". It matches the Rfam family "tRNA". From Rfam's summary of the family: Transfer RNA (tRNA) molecules are approximately 80 nucleotides in length. Their secondary structure includes four short double-helical elements and three loops (D, anti-codon, and T loops). Lineage: Eukaryota; Fungi; Ascomycota; Sordariomycetes; Microascales; Ceratocystidaceae. The record is from Rfam by way of RNAcentral.